UGGGGAAUAUUGGACAAUGGGGGAAACCCUGAUCCAGCAAUGCCGCGUGAAUGAUGAAGGCCUUAGGGUUGUAAAGUUCUUUUACCUGUGAAGAUGAUGACGGUAACAGGAGAAAAAGCACCGGCUAACUUCGUGCCAGCAGCCGCGGUAAGACGAAGGGUGCUAGCGUUGUUCGGAAUGACUGGGCGUAAAGGGCGCGUAGGCGGUUUUCUAAGUUAGGCGUGAAAGCCCCGGGCUUAACCCGGGACGUGCGCUUAAGACUGGAAGGCUUGAGUAUGGAAGAGGUAAGUGGAAUUCCUAGUGUAGAGGUGAAAUUCGUAGAUAUUAGGAAGAACACCAGUGGCGAAGGCGGCUUACUGGUCCAUUACUGACGCUGAGGCGCGAAAGUGUGGGGAGCAAACAGG
RNAcentral lists this ribosomal RNA (404 nucleotides) under uncultured bacterium. RNAcentral's name for it is "bacterial SSU rRNA". It matches the Rfam family "Bacterial small subunit ribosomal RNA", at positions 355 to 776 of the family's 1533-position model. The record is from RNAcentral.